Molecule: ribosomal RNA, 225 nt
Filed under: Triticum aestivum (bread wheat)
Lineage: Eukaryota; Viridiplantae; Streptophyta; Magnoliopsida; Poales; Poaceae
Description: partial small subunit ribosomal RNA
Source: RNAcentral
AUGUUACCUAUGGUAACCGGGUUCAUGAAUUAUGGUCAACAAACAAUACGUGCUACAAGGUACAUAGGUCAAAGUUUCAUAACUACCUUAUCCCACACAAAUCGUUUACCUAUAACGAUCCACUACCCUUAUGAAAAAUCAAUUACACUAGAGCGUUUCCGAGGGCGAAUCCACUUUGAAUUUGAUAAAUGUAUUGCUUGUGAUGUGUUCGCGUAUGUCCGAUAG